GUGUUGGGUCAGUGUUGGGUCAGUGUAGGGUUAGUGUUGGGUUAGUGUUGGGUCAGUGUUGGGUCAGUGUUGGGUCAGUGUUGGGUCAGUGUAGGGUCAGUGUUGGGUCAGUGUUGGGUUAGUGUGUGGUUAGUGUUGGGUCAGUGUUGGGUUAGUGUUGGGUCAGUGUAGGGUCAGUGUAGGGUCAGUGUUGGGUCAGUGUUGGGUUAGUGUUGGGUCAGUGUAGGGUCAGUGUUGGGUCAGUGUUGGGUCAGUGUUGGGUCAGUGUUGGGUCAGUGUUGGGUCAGUGUUGGGUUAGUGUUGGGUCAGUGUUGGGUCAGUGUAGGGUCAGUGUUGGGUCAGUGCUGGGUUAGUGCUGGGUUAGUGCUGGGUUAGUGCUGGGUUAGUGCUGGGUUAGUGUGUAGUUAGUGUUGGGUUAGUGUUGGGUCAGUGUUGGGUCAGUGUGG
Long non-coding RNA from Oncorhynchus tshawytscha (Chinook salmon), 446 nucleotides. The record is from Ensembl. Lineage: Eukaryota; Metazoa; Chordata; Actinopteri; Salmoniformes; Salmonidae.